GACCGCAGGCGCCCGGCGAUUGGCGUUUGCGUUUUGCGGAGGUGGCGUCUCGCGGUGCUGCCCAGGCUCCCGGGCCCCCGCGCUCCUCCCUGCAGCGGGCGCUGCCCCCGCCGAGCCCCCGCCGAGCCCCCGCCGAGCCCCCGCCGAGCCCCCGCCGAGCCCCCGCCGAGCCCCCGCCGAGCCACCCCUGCUUCUCCCUCUCCCGGAGUUGCCUGGGACACGCGGGUCCCGCCGGCCCCCUCUCCCCGCCCGUCAUCCUCACUGUAGACUCCGGGAGAACCAGGUCGCGGCCCAGGACCCUGGCUGGACACGGUUCCCGCCGUCUCCUGUUUAGUCCGCACUGACACUAGCAGCUGCUCCAGUUACCAACGUUUAGAGCAGCAGAGAGCGGAUGGCGCCCAAGGCCGGGACCCUCUGCUGCUCCCACAGGCCUCUCAGGCGGCUCUGCAGGACCAGCCAGCAGCCUCUGAUGCUCCCUUCCUAUUCCAUGGCUUCAGGUGCCAUCCUCUCCACAGAGACGGUUUCUAUUGUGACGCUCUCCCUGACUUGGAAGAAUGGCACUGGGAACAUUCCCCUUGGUGCUGAUGUCGGGGAGGAAAGCAGUUUCCAGUCGCCUGGGGCCAGGACAUGGCGUUCCCAGCUGUUGUAGAGCAUGAAGCACCAGGAUGCCCAUUCGGGUGCCUGCUGAGAUCAGGCUCUUUGAGAAGGAAUCCUGUGGUCGCCUGAGGAAGUCCAAAAAAAUUUCGAGGACAUCUCAGCCAUCCAUCCCCUGUUCACUGUGGAGGUUGAACACCGGGGCUCCUGGAGGGGGGCCCUGGGUCUCCACAGAAGUGCUGGCAGCCACCAUCCACUUCCUGGCCUUCCGUGCCCGCUCCACCUCUGUUCUGUUGUUUACUGUCUCCUUUGUGGGAAUUAUGGAAUAAACAAUCACUCUGGUGUCCUGGAAAAUAAACCUGAUGCUGGAGGG
This 967-nucleotide long non-coding RNA is filed under the name Homo sapiens (human). Its description in RNAcentral is "non-protein coding lnc-ITGB2-11:1". The record is from RNAcentral. Lineage: Eukaryota; Metazoa; Chordata; Mammalia; Primates; Hominidae.